UCUUCGGCGUCCGCAUUGUAAUCUCAAGAAGUGUUUUCCGCUUCGGACCAAGCCUAAGUCCCUUGGAAAAGGGCAUCAUAGAGGGUGAUAAUCCCGUACAUGGCUUGGAGCGCCCGAGGCUUUGUGAUACGCUUUCUAAGAGUCGAGUUGUUUGGGAAUGCAGCUCAAAAUGGGUGGUAAAUGCCAUCUAAGGCUAAAUAUUGGGGAGAGACCGAUAGCGAACAAGUACAGUGAUGGAAAGAUGAAAAGAACUUUGAAAAGAGAGUUAAACAGUACGUGAAAUUGCCAAAAGGGAAGGGUAGGAGGUCAGAGAUGCGGCCUGGGAUUCAGCCUUGCUUUUGCUUGGUGUUUUUCCCAGAUUGCAGGCCAACGUCGGUUUUGGGCACUGGAGAAGGGUAGGAGGAACGUGGCACCCCUCGGGGUGUGUUAUAGCCUCCUACUGGAUACAGCGACCGAGACCGAGGACAGCAGCGUACUCGUAAGAGCGGGCCCUCGGGCACCUUUACGCUUAGGGCGUUGGCAUAAU
RNAcentral lists this ribosomal RNA (526 nucleotides) under Moesziomyces parantarcticus. Its description in RNAcentral is "partial large subunit ribosomal RNA". It matches the Rfam family "Eukaryotic large subunit ribosomal RNA", at positions 128 to 635 of the family's 3401-position model. Lineage: Eukaryota; Fungi; Basidiomycota; Ustilaginomycetes; Ustilaginales; Ustilaginaceae. The record is from RNAcentral.